Molecule: ribosomal RNA, 1234 nt
Filed under: metagenome
Description: bacterial LSU rRNA
Rfam family: Bacterial large subunit ribosomal RNA
Source: RNAcentral
UGAAUACGAGAUGCUACGGCGUCGAAGCAGUCUAUGUCAUACUUCCAAGAAAAGCUUGCACUGUCAUAAACAAAUAAUGCCUGUACCAUAACCGACACAGGUGGGUAGGUAGAGUAUACUAAGGGGCGCGAGAUAACUCUCUCUAAGGAACUCGGCAAAAUGACUCCGUAACUUCGGGAGAAGGAGUGCCUUAUUUAUAAGGUUGCAAUAACAAGAUCCAAGCAACUGUUUACCAAAAACACAGGUCUCCGCUAAGUCGUAAGACGAUGUAUGGGGGCUGACGCCUGCCCAGUGCCAGAAGGUUAAAGAAGUUGGUUAGCAUCCGCGAAGCUGAUAACUGAAGCCCUGGUGAACGGCGGCCGUAACAAUAACGGUCCUAAGGUAGCGAAAUUCCUUGUCGGGUAAGUUCCGACCCGCACGAAAGGCGUAAUGAUUUGGAUACUGUCUCGGAGAGGGGCUCGGUGAAAUAGACUUGUCUGUGAAGAUGCGGACUACCUGCACCAGGACAGAAAGACCCUAUGAAGCUUUACUGUAACCUGAAAUUGAAAUUGGACUUUACUUGCGCAGUAUAGGUGGGAGGCGUUGAGAAUAUUCUUGCGGGAUUAUUGGAGCCAUCAGUGAGAUACCACUCUUGUAAUGUUAGAUUUCUAACUUUGUAUCAUUAUCUGGUCAAAGAACAGUUUCAGGCGGGCAGUUUGACUGGGGCGGUCGCCUCCUAAACGGUAACGGAGGCGCACAAAGGUUUCCUCUGAACGGGUAGAAAUCGUAUCUAGAGUGUAAAGGCAUAAGGAAGCUUGACUGUGAGACCUACAAGUCGAGCAGGGACGAAAGUCGGUCUUAGUGAUCUGACGGUGCUGAGUGGAAAGGCCGUCACUCAACGGAUAAAAGUUACUCUAGGAUAACAGGCUGGUCUCCCCCAAGAGUUCACAUCGACGGGGAGGUUUGGCACCUCGAUGUCGGCUCAUCGCAUCCUGGGGCGGUAGUACGUCCCAAGGGUUGGGCUGUUCGCCCAUGAAAGCGGUACGCGAGCUGGGUUCAGAACGUCGUGAGACAGUUCGGUCCAUAUCCGGUGUAGGCGUUAGAAUAUUGAGAGGAGCCUUCUUUAGUACGAGAGGACCGAGAAGGACAUACCUCUGGUGUACCAGUUAUCGUGCCAACGGUAAACGCUGGGUAGCUAUGUGUGGAGUGGAUAACCGCUGAAAGCAUCUAAGUGGGAAGCCCUCCUCAAGAUAAG